AACCGAAAUUAGGGGAGUCCCGCUGAGCGGGACUGAGAACCUCGCUGAGCGGGGGACCCUUGGAACCUGUCCGGGUAAUGCCGACGAAGGGAAAAUAUAUGUAUAACUCG
RNAcentral lists this non-coding RNA (110 nucleotides) under Candidatus Microgenomatota. RNAcentral's name for it is "Microgenomates Roizmanbacteria TPP sequence". It matches the Rfam family "TPP riboswitch aptamer (THI element)". From Rfam's summary of the family: Vitamin B(1) in its active form thiamin pyrophosphate (TPP) is an essential coenzyme that is synthesised by coupling of pyrimidine and thiazole moieties in bacteria. The previously detected thiamin-regulatory element, thi box was extended, resulting in a new, highly conserved RNA secondary structure, the THI element, which is widely distributed in eubacteria and also occurs in some archaea. The record is from RNAcentral.